Molecule: ribosomal RNA, 1957 nt
Filed under: human gut metagenome
Description: bacterial LSU rRNA
Rfam family: Bacterial large subunit ribosomal RNA
Source: RNAcentral
GAGGCGAACCGGGGGAACUGAAACAUCUAAGUACCCCGAGGAAAAGAAAUCAACCGAGAUUCCCCCAGUAGCGGCGAGCGAACGGGGAGCAGCCCAGAGCCUGAAUCAGUGUGUGUGUUAGUGGAAGCGUCUGGAAAGGCGCGCGAUACAGGGUGACAGCCCCGUACACAAAAAUGCACAUGCUGUGAGCUCGAUGAGUAGGGCGGGACACGUGGUAUCCUGUCUGAAUAUGGGGGGACCAUCCUCCAAGGCUAAAUACUCCUGACUGACCGAUAGUGAACCAGUACCGUGAGGGAAAGGCGAAAAGAACCCCGGCGAGGGGAGUGAAAAAGAACCUGAAACCGUGUACGUACAAGCAGUGGGAGCACGCUUAGGCGUGUGACUGCGUACCUUUUGUAUAAUGGGUCAGCGACUUAUAUUCUGUAGCAAGGUUAACCGAAUAGGGGAGCCGAAGGGAAACCGAGUCUUAACUGGGCGUUAAGUUGCAGGGUAUAGACCCGAAACCCGGUGAUCUAGCCAUGGGCAGGUUGAAGGUUGGGUAACACUAACUGGAGGACCGAACCGACUAAUGUUGAAAAAUUAGCGGAUGACUUGUGGCUGGGGGUGAAAGGCCAAUCAAACCGGGAGAUAGCUGGUUCUCCCCGAAAGCUAUUUAGGUAGCGCCUCGUGAAUUCAUCUCCGGGGGUAGAGCACUGUUUCGGCAAGGGGGUCAUCCCGACUUACCAACCCGAUGCAAACUGCGAAUACCGGAGAAUGUUAUCACGGGAGACACACGGCGGGUGCUAACGUCCGUCGUGAAGAGGGAAACAACCCAGACCGCCAGCUAAGGUCCCAAAGUCAUGGUUAAGUGGGAAACGAUGUGGGAAGGCCCAGACAGCCAGGAUGUUGGCUUAGAAGCAGCCAUCAUUUAAAGAAAGCGUAAUAGCUCACUGGUCGAGUCGGCCUGCGCGGAAGAUGUAACGGGGCUAAACCAUGCACCGAAGCUGCGGCAGCGACGCUUAUGCGUUGUUGGGUAGGGGAGCGUUCUGUAAGCCUGUGAAGGUGUGCUGUGAGGCAUGCUGGAGGUAUCAGAAGUGCGAAUGCUGACAUAAGUAACGAUAAAGCGGGUGAAAAGCCCGCUCGCCGGAAGACCAAGGGUUCCUGUCCAACGUUAAUCGGGGCAGGGUGAGUCGACCCCUAAGGCGAGGCCGAAAGGCGUAGUCGAUGGGAAACAGGUUAAUAUUCCUGUACUUGGUGUUACUGCGAAGGGGGGACGGAGAAGGCUAUGUUGGCCGGGCGACGGUUGUCCCGGUUUAAGCGUGUAGGCUGGUUUUCCAGGCAAAUCCGGAAAAUCAAGGCUGAGGCGUGAUGACGAGGCACUACGGUGCUGAAGCAACAAAUGCCCUGCUUCCAGGAAAAGCCUCUAAGCAUCAGGUAACAUCAAAUCGUACCCCAAACCGACACAGGUGGUCAGGUAGAGAAUACCAAGGCGCUUGAGAGAACUCGGGUGAAGGAACUAGGCAAAAUGGUGCCGUAACUUCGGGAGAAGGCACGCUGAUAUGUAGGUGAAGCGACUUGCUCGUGGAGCUGAAAUCAGUCGAAGAUACCAGCUGGCUGCAACUGUUUAUUAAAAACACAGCACUGUGCAAACACGAAAGUGGACGUAUACGGUGUGACGCCUGCCCGGUGCCGGAAGGUUAAUUGAUGGGGUCAGCGCAAGCGAAGCUCUUGAUCGAAGCCCCGGUAAACGGCGGCCGUAACUAUAACGGUCCUAAGGUAGCGAAAUUCCUUGUCGGGUAAGUUCCGACCUGCACGAAUGGCGUAAUGAUGGCCAGGCUGUCUCCACCCGAGACUCAGUGAAAUUGAACUCGCUGUGAAGAUGCAGUGUACCCGCGGCAAGACGGAAAGACCCCGUGAACCUUUACUAUAGCUUGACACUGAACAUUGAGCCUUGAUGUGUAGGAUAGGUGGGAGGCUU